CCCUGAUUUUGAUAGCUGGCUGGUAGACUUGUCUUAAGGAUUACUGGACCUAGUUCGGCGGUAAUCCAUUUCAAAUCGUCUGCUCCAACGUUGAUUUGGAAAACUCAGAACAGGACGUGGUUUAUUUUACUGUAAUAAUAGUCAAGAUUGUAGUAGAGUACGCUUUUAAGGUUUUGUGCCUUUUCCAUUUUGUUUAACGUUAAUUUCGUGUAUUUGCAAGGCGGCUGUACACUUUUGAGAAAAUGUUUUUCAUAGGAAUGAUGCUACGUUAAUAUGAAAGGCGGAUUUAAAAGAUUAACUGUUAUCGUCUCAAGAGAUUCUUUAGAACUUCAAUAUCCAAUCAUUUUUUUCCUCCUCCACCCCAAUGGGGGCGGUGCCCCUGAUGGGGUGGAGGUGCUCCUUUGGGCUUGCAUAGUAGGCGUGUUGGCCUACUGUGCGAGUCCUUGGAGUUUAUUUUUCGUCGCAGACGACCGUGACCUUGUUCUGAGGGGUUUAGAAUGGCUGACUCAAGGAUUUGGAGUUGUGCGAUUAGUUCGUGAAAUACUGCUAUUUCCAUCUGUUACAAAAGUGAGACUUUCCAAAUGUUAGUUUUGAAAUAUGAUAAAACAAGUUUUGAGAAAGCAUUCUGUAACCAUGAAUUAAUGAUUAAAUAUUCCAGUGAGUGGAUCGUCCUGUAAUUGCCGAUUAAUUAAAUAUUCCAGUGUGAAUAGUCCUGUAAUUACCAAUUAAAUACCCCAGUGUGUGGAUCGUCCUGUAAUUACUAAUGUUUGUAAUCACAUGACAUUGACCUUAGUUGUUAAAAAAAGGGUGCGUGUUUUAAAAUUAAAGAUGCGAGGUUCUGAGAUUUUUAUUGA
Molecule: long non-coding RNA, 854 nt
Organism: Macrobrachium nipponense
Lineage: Eukaryota; Metazoa; Arthropoda; Malacostraca; Decapoda; Palaemonidae
Exons: 3
Source: RefSeq, a predicted model, not a curated record